Molecule: non-coding RNA, 119 nt
Organism: Pteropus alecto (black flying fox)
Lineage: Eukaryota; Metazoa; Chordata; Mammalia; Chiroptera; Pteropodidae
Source: Rfam
GUCUACAGCCAUGCCACCCUGAACAAGCCUGAUCUCGUCUGAUCUCGGAAGCUAAGCAGGUUCGGGCCUGGUUAGUACUUGGAUGGGAGACCACCUAGGAAGACCAUGUGCUGUAGAUG